Molecule: ribosomal RNA, 309 nt
Filed under: uncultured bacterium
Lineage: Bacteria
Description: bacterial SSU rRNA
Rfam family: Bacterial small subunit ribosomal RNA
Source: RNAcentral
GAUGAACGCUGGCGGCGUGCCUAACACAUGCAAGUCGAACGGACGAGAAGAGCCUGCUCUUCGAGUUAGUGGCGGACGGGUGAGUAACGCGUGAGCAACCUGCCUUUCAGAGGGGGAUAACAUCGGGAAACCGGUGCUAGUACCGCAUGAUGUGCGAGAACCGCAUGAUCUUCGUACCAAAGGAGCAAUCCGCUGAAAGAUGGGCUCGCGUCUGAUUAGAUAGUUGGUGAGGUAACGGCCCACCAAGUCGACGAUCAGUAGCCGGACUGAGAGGUUGAACGGCCACAUUGGAACUGAGAUACGGUCCAG